GCCUCCGUGGCGGAAUCGGCAGACGCGCACGGCUUAGGACCGUGUGGGGAAACUCGUGCAGGUUCAAAUCCUGCCGGAGGCACCA
RNAcentral lists this transfer RNA (85 nucleotides) under Candidatus Sungiibacteriota bacterium. RNAcentral's name for it is "tRNA-Leu". It matches the Rfam family "tRNA". From Rfam's summary of the family: Transfer RNA (tRNA) molecules are approximately 80 nucleotides in length. Their secondary structure includes four short double-helical elements and three loops (D, anti-codon, and T loops). Further hydrogen bonds mediate the characteristic L-shaped molecular structure. tRNAs have two regions of fundamental functional importance: the anti-codon, which is responsible for specific mRNA codon recognition, and the 3' end, to which the tRNAs corresponding amino acid is attached (by aminoacyl-tRNA synthetases). tRNAs cope with the degeneracy of the genetic code in two manners: having more than one tRNA (with a specific anti-codon) for a particular amino acid; and 'wobble' base-pairing, i.e. permitting non-standard base-pairing at the 3rd anti-codon position. The record is from RNAcentral. Lineage: Bacteria; Candidatus Sungiibacteriota.